Pelobates cultripes (western spadefoot toad) is the source of this 220-nucleotide non-coding RNA. The record is from the annotation of a GenBank genome assembly. Lineage: Eukaryota; Metazoa; Chordata; Amphibia; Anura; Pelobatidae.
CAUUGCUUCUCUGACUUUGAUUGGAAAGCGGUGUGUGUGUAUGUGUUAUGUGUAUAUAUAAACAAGGAGUAAACUUUUCAAUAAGUUGAAAUUUCUCUGUAAAGUAACCCCCUGCUCCUUUCACAUAUUAACUGUAUACGGUAUAUACUUGUUUAAAUAAUGAUGGGACAAUAUUUAGAUUUAAGUAAAGACCUGUGUACCUGCAGAGUGCAAGCAUGUG